RNAcentral lists this non-coding RNA (46 nucleotides) under Schistosoma curassoni. The record is from RNAcentral. Lineage: Eukaryota; Metazoa; Platyhelminthes; Trematoda; Strigeidida; Schistosomatidae.
GCACUGCUGAAGAGUUCCACAAUAGGGCGAAACGGCCAUCCAGUGC